Molecule: small nucleolar RNA, 122 nt
Filed under: Cavia porcellus (domestic guinea pig)
Lineage: Eukaryota; Metazoa; Chordata; Mammalia; Rodentia; Caviidae
Description: Small nucleolar RNA U13
Rfam family: Small nucleolar RNA U13
Source: Rfam by way of RNAcentral
AUCAUAAUACAACACAUAUAUAAUGACUGGUAUUUUAAAAAUUUAAGUAGGUUUCCAGGCCACUGUGUGAGAUUUGCCUCCCUCAAAUCUUGUUUUGACAUCAUCAGAUUACUGGUUUGACA